CCUCGCCAAUGGAAACUAGCUUGCUAUUGGCUGGCGAGGGCAGUGACAUCAUCAAGCUGAUCUAGCCUCUCGGGCGUCGUUCUGCUGCUGCGUAGUGAGGCAGUGACCGGCGGACAGGAUCACACAGGCCGACCGAGCAGCAUCAUGUCCGCCUACAGGCAACAGACCGCGGCCCGGGGCCGGGACUUCAACAGCAUCAUCCAGACCUGCAGCGGCAACGUCCAGAGGAUCACACAUAACAGUGAGUGCCAGCUCCGGACACGGUGCCCUUCAUCACACACAGC
This is a non-coding RNA of Pelobates cultripes (western spadefoot toad), 284 nucleotides long. NCBI's taxonomy places the organism in Eukaryota, Metazoa, Chordata, Amphibia, Anura, Pelobatidae. The record is from the annotation of a GenBank genome assembly.